RNAcentral lists this ribosomal RNA (301 nucleotides) under uncultured bacterium. RNAcentral's name for it is "partial 16S ribosomal RNA". It matches the Rfam family "Bacterial small subunit ribosomal RNA", at positions 509 to 807 of the family's 1533-position model. The record is from RNAcentral.
CAGCAGCCGCGGUAAUACGAAGGGGGCUAGCGUUGUUCGGAUUUACUGGGCGUAAAGCGCACGUAGGCGGACUUUUAAGUCAGGGGUGAAAUCCCGGGGCUCAACCCCGGAACUGCCUUUGAUACUGGAAGUCUUGAGUAUGGUAGAGGUGAGUGGAAUUCCGAGUGUAGAGGUGAAAUUCGUAGAUAUUCGGAGGAACACCAGUGGCGAAGGCGGCUCACUGGACCAUUAUUGACGCUGAGGUGCGAAAGCGUGGGGAGCAAACAGGAUUAGAUACCCGGGUAGUCCCUGUCUCUUAUAC